AUCGAGUGGCGAACGGGUGAGUAACGCGUGAGGAACCUGCCUCAAAGAGGGGGACAACAGUUGGAAACGACUGCUAAUACCGCAUAAGCCCACGGUACCGCAUGGCACUGAGGGAAAAGGAUUUAUUCGCUUUAGGAUGGACUCGCGUCCAAUUAGCUAGUUGGUGAGGUAAUGGCCCACCAAGGCGACGAUCGGUAGCCGGACUGAGAGGUUGAACGGCCACAUUGGGACUGAGACACGGCCCAGACUCC
RNAcentral lists this ribosomal RNA (251 nucleotides) under uncultured Oscillospiraceae bacterium. Its description in RNAcentral is "partial 16S ribosomal RNA". It matches the Rfam family "Bacterial small subunit ribosomal RNA", at positions 90 to 339 of the family's 1533-position model. Lineage: Bacteria; Bacillati; Bacillota; Clostridia; Eubacteriales; Oscillospiraceae. The record is from RNAcentral.